Long non-coding RNA from Patiria miniata (bat star), 443 nucleotides. RefSeq lists it as uncharacterized. The transcript is spliced from 3 exons. The record is from RefSeq and is a predicted model, not a curated record. Lineage: Eukaryota; Metazoa; Echinodermata; Asteroidea; Valvatida; Asterinidae.
CAGGCCCACGAUGCUGUGAACUAUUUGCACGAAAUAUCACAGUGGCAGGAGCGAGACGAUCAGAUUACUGUACAGUUGACCCUGUUUUUGGCAAAGCUGAAUGGCGCCCCCAUCGCUUUGACAACAUGGAGUUUUUUACCAGUCACCAAGGACUUCGUGUUAACGGUUAUUGGAGCGCUGUUUACGUACUUCGUCAUUGUUGCACAGACACUGCCCAUGUCCCACCAGCAGCAAACUUGAACCACGUUUCCCAAUGCAGCCUGAAAGAUGACCCCAAAAACCUGCGAGAGUUUACGCGAGAACACAGCACAUCAGGGCACCGUGUCUAGGAUCUACAACGUGUGUACCGUCCUAUUCUUUGCGUUUUUACUUGUGUCCUGACUGGGCCCAUCCAAUUAAGGUCAAUACAGGGUGUGUAAAAAAAAAACGAAUCCCAAAUGGCA